AGACAGGGUCUCACUCUGUCGCCCAGGCUGGAGUGCAGUGGCACAAUCUUGGCUCACUGUAGUGUAGACUUCCCAGGCUCAAGGGAUUUCUCCCACCCCAGACUCCCAAGUAGCUGGAACUACGGGUGUGCACCACCACCACACCUGGCUAAUGUUUCUUUUUUUGGUAGACACAGAGUCUCACUAUUUAGCACUGAUUGGUCUCCAACUCCUGGCCUCAAGCAAUCCUCCUGCUUAGGCUUCCCAAAUUGCUGGGAUUACAGGCAUGAGCCACAAUGCCUGGCCUCUGCUAGUUCCGUAUUCUCUAGAGUUGUCUUUACUUUGUGCUAGCGUGUCCCUCAUUGUGCUGAUCCUCUGUAAAAAUUAAUACCUUUUUUUUUUUUUCGAGACGGAGUUUCACUCUUGUUGCCCAGGCUGGAGUGCAAUGGCGCUAUCUCGGCUCAGCGCAACCGCCACCUGCCGGGUUCAAGCGAUUCUCCUGCCACAGCCUCCCGAGUAGUUGGGAUUACAGGCAUGUGCCACCAUGCCCAGCUAAUUUUGUAUUUUUAGUAGAGAUGGGGUUUCUCCAUGCUGGUCAGGCUGGUCUCGAACUCCUGACCUCAGGUGAUCUGUCUGCCUUGGCCUCCCAAAGUGCUGGGAUUACAGGCAUGAGCCAUUGUGCCUGGCCAAAAUUAAUACUUUUUAUAUUAAAUUUACAUAUGUAUACGUUUUUUCUUUUUGAUACCGGGUCUCACACUGUCACCCAAGCUGGAGUACAGUGGCACAACCUCUGCUCAUUGCAGCCUCCACCUGCCAGGCUCAAGCAAUUCUCCUGCCUCAGCCUCCCGAGUAGCUGGGAUUACAGGAAGUGACCUCACAAUGACUCAAGCUACCACAUACUGUUGAUUGUGAAAUGCCAGUUGAAGCAUAUGUCCUGCGAGCUUAGGGGUGCUACAAGUUGACCACUGCAGCAGUAAAGAUGACUCUGAAGAAUGGCAUGGGAUGGAUCCUUUCGAAUGCACUUGAGCAGCGGUCUCCAACCACAGGGCCACAGAGCUGGAGCUGGAUCUACCAUGAAAGACUUCUGAAUCCAGGAAGAGAGACUGACUGGGCAACAUGUUAUUCAGGGUCUCCCUCUGUUGUCCAAGGCUGGAGUGUAGUAGUGCUAUCACAGCUGACUGCAGCCUCAACCUUCCAGGCUGAAGUGAUUCUCCCAUCUCAACCUCCCACGUGGCUGAGACUACAGGUGCUUGCCACUAUGCCCAACUAAUAUUUGGAAUUUUCAUAUAAGUGGAUUCCAGAGUGGUGACAGCAAAACGUGGGACCAUCCAGUUGCAGGAAAACAAGCUUAACAUGCCCACUGAUUCUACAUUAUGCUCCUACCUCCCGGCAGCCUCUCCAGGCCCAGAACUUUCUCCAGUCAGCCUCUACAGACCAAGCUCAUGACUCACAAUGGCCUAUUUAGGCCCAUACCCUACCUCACGGCAGUCUCCGCAGAUGAGCCUACUGCCUCACAACAGCCUCCACAGGCACAGCUCCAUCGUUACAAUGGCCUCUUUAGACCCAGCUCCUGCCUCCCAGCCUUCUCUCUAGGCCCUGAACUUUCUGAAGUCGACCUCACCAGGCCCAGCUCAUGCUUCUUUGCAGCCUCUCCAGGCCCAGCUCCUGCAUCUUGGUGGCCCCUCCAGGCCCAGCCUCUGCCUCCCGUCGGCCUCUACAGUCCCAACAUCUGCCUCAUAGCAGAUUCUUGAGGCCCAGCAUCUGCCUCACUGUGGACCCCCCAAGCCAAGCUCCCAACCUUUAGCAGCUUCUACACACCCAGCUCCUGCCACCCAGUGGCCUCUUUAGGCCAAGCUCAUGCUUCACAAGGGCCUUUCCAGGCCCAACUUUCGUCUCAUGGCAACCUUCCCUGGCCAGAUUCCUGCGUGUCUCCCAGCAGCCUAGACAGGCCCAGGUCUUGCCUCACACUGGCCUCUCUACAUCCAGCUCAUGCCUCACAGUGACCUCUCCAGGCACAGCUCCUGUCCCAGAACGUCAUCUCCGGGCCCAAAACUUACUCAAGUCAGCCUCUCUAGUCCCAACUGCUGCCUCCUGGUGGCCUAUGAAGGCCCAAAAUCUCCUCAAGUUGACCUCUCCCGGCCCAGCUCCUGCCUCCUGUCAGCGUCUACAGGCCCAACCUCUGCCUCAUGGGGGCUUCUCCAGGCCCAGCUCUUCCUCUUGGCUGAGUCUACAGGCACAACUGCUGCCUCACAACAGCCUUUUUUGGCCCAGUUCCUGUCCAGCUCAUGGCAGCCAAUGUAGGCCCAAAACUUCCUCAAGUCAUACUCUCCAGGCCCACCUUCUGCUUCCCGGUGGCAUGAACAGGCCCAGCUUUGACUUGAGAACAGCCUCUGCAGGGCCUGCUCUUGCCUCCCAGGGGCUUUUCCAAGCCCAGCUCUUGCCUCAUGGCAGCUGCCUCAGGCCAAAUUUCUUCCUGCCUGCCAGCAGCCUCAACAGGCACAGCUCCUCCCUCACGGUGGCCCAUUUAGGCCCAACUCAUGACUGUCGGGCCAUUUCCAGGCCUAGUGCCUGCCUCCUGGCUGACUCUUGAAGCCCAAAACUUCCUCAAAUCAGCCUUUUGCCCAACUUGUGUCUACUGUCGGACUCUACAGGCCAGCCUCUGCCUCACAGUGGACCCUGCAGACCCAGAUGGUGUCUCACUGUGGCAUCCUCAGGCAAAGCUCCUGCCUUUCGGCAGCCUCUACGGGGCCAGCUCCUGCCUUGCAGUGGCCUCUUCAGGCCAAGCUCAUGCCCCAUGGCGACUUUUCCAGGCACAGCUUUUGCCUUUUGCAGCCUGUCCAGGCCCAGAAUGUCCUUAACUCGGCAUCUCCAGGACGAGCUCAUCCUCCCAGUGCGUCUACAGGCCCAUCUCC
This is a long non-coding RNA of Homo sapiens (human), 2891 nucleotides long. Lineage: Eukaryota; Metazoa; Chordata; Mammalia; Primates; Hominidae. The record is from Ensembl.